Molecule: non-coding RNA, 738 nt
Organism: Elaeis guineensis (African oil palm)
Lineage: Eukaryota; Viridiplantae; Streptophyta; Magnoliopsida; Arecales; Arecaceae
Source: RefSeq, a predicted model, not a curated record
CCAAAAAACCGCUUGCGAGCGAAAGGCGGCCAUGCCCUCCGGGUACUCUUCUUUCGUCUUCUUUAAUCCUUCUAUCGUUUGCUCCUCUCAAUCCAUUCUCUCCUCCUCCUUAUGACUUCACUUCUUCCCCCUUUCUACCAAAACCCUCAUAACCCUAACGCGUGAAGGAUUCUUGGAUCGGAACUGCGUUCUUUAUCCGCUGGAGAAUUACGGCACGUUUAUCGUCUAUGGGGAGACAGGAAGUGGAAGGAUCACUCCCAUUCCAAAGGUUCAAUGCUUCUUCUGUGCUGUUAAAGAAUUCGUUUCUUGGAAUUCUCUUGAGAUCUUUUUGGCAAUAGGGGAGAAUGAAUUACCCUCAGAAAAGAGCCUAUUUUAUCUCUCUCAAUUGGUUGGAUCAAGGUUUGCAAAAUUGGUAUCGGAUUGUAUCAGUACUUUACCGGUUGGGUAAUGAUAUGAGUAAAGGACAUACGGUGGAAAUUCAUUAUGUUAAGGAGCCUGUCUCUGAUUAUUUACAAGCUGCUGUUGACACUGUGCUGGCAAUUCAUCAUCAAGUACAUUGCAGCAUAUAGGAGGUGAUAUUGGUUAGUGUAUAAAAAGUUAUUUUCUCGCUAUAUUAAUGCACUCGACCCCACCUUAAAUUGUAUGAUUACUCCAUAAGUUGUGAGAACUUUGUAGUUAGAUGCCCCAUCAGCUUUGCAAUUUGCAUUCUGAUUCUUCUUGCCUUCUGGACUGAAAAAA